Molecule: ribosomal RNA, 415 nt
Filed under: Nasutitermes aquilinus
Lineage: Eukaryota; Metazoa; Arthropoda; Insecta; Blattodea; Termitidae
Description: partial small subunit ribosomal RNA
Source: RNAcentral
CCCUAUUAUUUUGGAGUGUUAAUUUUUUGUGCCUGAGUAGUAUUAGUUAUGUUCUUGAAACUUAAAGAAUUUGGCGGUAUCUCAUUCCGUCCAGAGGAAUCUGUCCCGUUAUCGAUAGUCCGCGUUGGACCUUACUUAUUUGAUUUGGUUUGUAUACCGCCGUUUAUUGAUUAUCUUUUUAGGGGUUGUUUAAUUUUCUGGUUUCUUUAUUUUGAUAUAUUUCAGGUCAAGGUGCAGCUUGUUUUUAAGUGGAAUGAUGGAUUACAUUGAUAUUUGUUUAUGGAUUGUUGGUUUUAAUAUUGGCAUGAAAUUGGAUUUGGUUGUAAUGAUUUGUAGAUUGUUAUUAUGAUAAUUGGUUCUGAGAUAUGCACACAUCGCCCGUCGCUCUCGUUUGUUUAUUAUAAUGAGAUAAGUC